This 1027-nucleotide ribosomal RNA is filed under the name Escherichia coli. RNAcentral's name for it is "partial 23S ribosomal RNA". It matches the Rfam family "Bacterial large subunit ribosomal RNA", at positions 418 to 1446 of the family's 2925-position model. The record is from RNAcentral. Lineage: Bacteria; Pseudomonadati; Pseudomonadota; Gammaproteobacteria; Enterobacterales; Enterobacteriaceae.
CGGGACACGUGGUAUCCUGUCUGAAUAUGGGGGGACCAUCCUCCAAGGCUAAAUACUCCUGACUGACCGAUAGUGAACCAGUACCGUGAGGGAAAGGCGAAAAGAACCCCGGCGAGGGGAGUGAAAAAGAACCUGAAACCGUGUACGUACAAGCAGUGGGAGCCUCUUAAUGGGGUGACUGCGUACCUUUUGUAUAAUGGGUCAGCGACUUAUAUUCUGUAGCAAGGUUAACCGAAUAGGGGAGCCGAAGGGAAACCGAGUCUUAACUGGGCGUUAAGUUGCAGGGUAUAGACCCGAAACCCGGUGAUCUAGCCAUGGGCAGGUUGAAGGUUGGGUAACACUAACUGGAGGACCGAACCGACUAAUGUUGAAAAAUUAGCGGAUGACUUGUGGCUGGGGGUGAAAGGCCAAUCAAACCGGGAGAUAGCUGGUUCUCCCCGAAAGCUAUUUAGGUAGCGCCUCGUGAAUUCAUCUCCGGGGGUAGAGCACUGUUUCGGCAAGGGGGUCAUCCCGACUUACCAACCCGAUGCAAACUGCGAAUACCGGAGAAUGUUAUCACGGGAGACACACGGCGGGUGCUAACGUCCGUCGUGAAGAGGGAAACAACCCAGACCGCCAGCUAAGGUCCCAAAGUCAUGGUUAAGUGGGAAACGAUGUGGGAAGGCCCAGACAGCCAGGAUGUUGGCUUAGAAGCAGCCAUCAUUUAAAGAAAGCGUAAUAGCUCACUGGUCGAGUCGGCCUGCGCGGAAGAUGUAACGGGGCUAAACCAUGCACCGAAGCUGCGGCAGCGACACUAUGUGUUGUUGGGUAGGGGAGCGUUCUGUAAGCCUGUGAAGGUGUACUGUGAGGUAUGCUGGAGGUAUCAGAAGUGCGAAUGCUGACAUAAGUAACGAUAAAGCGGGUGAAAAGCCCGCUCGCCGGAAGACCAAGGGUUCCUGUCCAACGUUAAUCGGGGCAGGGUGAGUCGACCCCUAAGGCGAGGCCGAAAGGCGUAGUCGAUGGGAAACAGGUUAAUAUUCCUGUACUU